Molecule: ribosomal RNA, 322 nt
Filed under: uncultured Prevotella sp.
Lineage: Bacteria; Pseudomonadati; Bacteroidota; Bacteroidia; Bacteroidales; Prevotellaceae
Description: bacterial SSU rRNA
Rfam family: Bacterial small subunit ribosomal RNA
Source: RNAcentral
GAUGAACGCUAGCUACAGGCUUAACACAUGCAAGUCGAGGGGCAUCAUGGGAGUUGCUUGCAACUUCUGAUGGCGACCGGCGCACGGGUGAGUAACGCGUAUCCAACCCUUCCCCCUAGCGAGGGGAUAGCCCGGCGAAAGUCGGAUUAAUACCCUAUGUUCUUCGUUGAUGGCAUCAGAUAUGAAGCAAAGGUUUACCGCUAUGGGAUGGGGAUGCGUCUGAUUAGGUUGUUGGCGGGGUAACGGCCCACCAAGCCAUCGAUCAGUAGGGGUUCUGAGAGGAAGGUCCCCCACAUUGGUACUGAGACACGGACCAAACUCC